This 440-nucleotide ribosomal RNA is filed under the name uncultured bacterium. Its description in RNAcentral is "partial 16S ribosomal RNA". It matches the Rfam family "Bacterial small subunit ribosomal RNA", at positions 338 to 795 of the family's 1533-position model. The record is from RNAcentral.
CCUACGGGUGGCUGCAGUGGGGAAUAUUGCACAAUGGGGGAAACUCUGAUGCAGCAACGCCGCGUGAGUGAAGAAGUCUUUCGGUAUGUAAAGCUCUAUCAGCAGGGAAGAAAAUGACAGUACCUGACUAAAAUGCGCCGGCUAACUACGGGCACGCAGCCGCGGUAAUACGUAGGGGGCACGCGUUUUCCGGAUUUACUGGGUGUAAAGGGCGUGUAGACGGAGGCGCAAGUCAGAAGUGAAAGCCCGGGGAUCAACCGCUGGACUGCUUUUGAAACUGUGUAGCUAGAGUGCAGGAGAGGUAAGUGGAAUUCCUAGUGUAGCGGUGAAAUGCGUAGAUAUAAGGAAGAACACCAGUGGCGAAGGCGGAUUACUGGACUAUAACUGACGUUGAGGCUCGAAAGCGUGGGGAGCAAACAGGAUUAGAUACCCUAGUAGUC